UAUGUCUGCCUUGCUAUGGAGGGUAAAGGUGGACAGUUAUAGGAAAUUCUUUAGUACCUGUAGAGGUACUAUUCUUUUACUCGUGUCGGCAACCAAUGUGUGAUUGAUCAGUAUGGCUUCACGUGUUUUCUUCUUUAUCAGAAAUCUUCGACAAAUUGUCCGUAAUUUUCGUCAAGCUGAGUGUGCAUGUGACAGGUGUUGACGAGGCUGAAAAAGACUGGUGCCUCUUCGAUAUCUGGGAUCGGCGCUUCGACAAAUUGCCCGUGAUUUCCGCAAAGCUGAGUUUGCGCGUGACGGGUGCUGACGAGGCUGAAAAAGACUGGCGCCUCUUCGAUAUCUGGGAUUGGCGCUUUAACAAAUUGCCCAUGAUUUCUGCAAAGCUGAGUUUGCACGUGACGGGUGCUAACGCGUCUGGAAAAGCAAGAUGCUUCUCCGAUUUCUGAGCUUGCCUCUUUGAUUUUUGAAUUGGCCUCUUCGAAUUCUGAGCUCGCCUCUUCGAUCUUUGAAAUCCCAUCGAGUGUUGAUCUUUAUAGAGGCACGCAGUUCGUUUCAAAGCACACUUGAAUUUUCGCUUGUAGAAACUCCCUUCUUGCACUUCUAAGAUCUUGAUUUGUCCGACCUCUUCUUUCUUCAACACCUUUGAAAAUGUCUGGACCCUCCGACCGUCAUUUUGAUUUGAACCUUGGUGAAGAGGUAGUCCCGUCUUCUCCAGAUAACAUAUGACGCCCAUCUUUCAUAUCCCCUACUGGUCCUCUUACCGUUGGGGAUUCGGUGGUGAAGAAUGAUAUGACCGCUGCGGUGGUGGCCCGAAACCUUGUCACUCCCAGAGAUAACAGACUACUUUCCAAACGGUCUGAUGAGUUGGCUGUUAAGGAUUCUCUGGCUCUCAGUGUGCAGUGUGCAGGUUCUGUGUCUAAUAUGGCCCAACGCCUAUUUGCUCGAACCCGUCAAGUUGAAUCAUUGGCGGCUGAAGUGAUGAGUCUCAAACAGGAGAUAUUAGAGGGCUCAAGCAGAGAGAUAAACAGUUGCAUAAGCUCGCACAUAGCUAUGCGACAAACAUGAAGAGGAAGAUUAACCAGAUGCAGGAAUCUGAUGGUCAGAUUUUACUUGAUCAUCAGAGGUUUGUGGGUUUGUUCCAGCAGCAUUUGCCUUCGUCUUCUGGGGCUGUACCGCGUAAUGAAGCUCCAAAUGAUCAACCCUUGGCUCCUCUUCUUCCUGGAGUUCCGCCGAGUGGUGUGGCUUCAAACAGUCAACCUCCGACGCCUCUCAUUUCUGGAGCUCUGCUGAGUGGUGAGGUGGCACCUAAUCGUCCUUGAAGAUCCCCUCUUGUAAAUUUGAUUUGAUUUUUUUUUAAGUAUGUAUAAUGCAAAUUUAUGUAAAAUUUCCAGAAAAAAUAAAUAAAAACGGACUUUAUUUCUCUCAAUGCAUUUGUUUUGUUUUGUUUUUGUUUUUUUUGUUUUUUUGUUUUUGUUUUUUUUGUAAAUACAUAAUAACAUAUGUAUUUAUUUAUUUAUUCUUUUGUAAUAAAAUUGACUUUCUUUAAUAAAACUUUUAUAUUUUUCUUAUUUAUUUUGAUAUGACUGAACUCGAAAUUGAAUGUUCGAGCCGCCUACGUACCCUUCCAAAGAAGAGAUCAAGCCAUAACGUAGUUCAAAUGAGUGAUGAAUUUAAUAGUGAUUUUGAUGAUGAUUUUGCCGUACACAGUUUAUGCUCUUGUGGGCCAGGAGCUUUGGUGUUGCCUUUUAUGCUCGUGCAGACCAGGAGCGUUGAUGUCGCCUUUUAUGCUCGUGUGGGUCAGGAGCGUUGAUGUUGCCUUUUAUGCUCGUGCAGACCAGGAGCUUUGUGCCAUGCAGUUUAGACUCGUGCGGGCAAGGAGCUUUGGUUCGUGCAGUUUAGGCUCAUGCGAACAAGGAGCAUUGGUUCGUGCAGUUUAGGCUCGUGCGAACAAGGAGCAUUGGUGUUGCCUUUUAUGCUCGUGCAGACCAGGAGCUUUGUGCUAUGCAGUUUAGACUCGUGCGGGUGAGGAGAAUUUGUGAAUUUUGUCAAGCACUUUUGGAGAGGCGUUCCUUACAAUCUUCAUAGCAAGGAGCCUUGACCGAGUGAUUGAAGAAGUCUUCGGGAAAGAAGUCGCACAUCGUGAUGGCAACAGACGAUCUUUGUGUCGUAAUUUCAUCAUCUUCAACACGUUCACGUUGCUUUGAAGGUUGACAAGAGCUGCUUUGCCCCCUUUCCGAUUGGCGGACUUGUGGAGGAGACGUAUGCUUCUUGUGCCAUUUCUUAGGAGUGACUUGAGUCCAUCCUUCAAGUUUGCUUGUUUUGGAGGAUGCCCCCGGCGGUUGAGGUGAAAAUUUUGUGUUGAAAGAGCCAGAAGUGAUGGUGGUAUAGUUUGACUUCACCACAUCGUCAAGAUCUAGCUCGAUGAUUCCUUUCUGAGCCCACUUUAUGAUGAGAUCUUUCAGCACAAAGCACUUUUCUGUCGGAUGACUGAUGAAGCGGUGGAAUUUACAGUAUCUUGGACUGUUGGUACGAUUCAUCUCUUCCGGCCAUCUGCACUCAGGCAAACUGAUCACCUUCUUGUCCAACAGGUCAUCCAACAUGGCAACCACAUCAGAGUCAGGGAAUGGAUAAGUCUUCUCUUUAAGCUCCUUCAAAGUGCGUCUACGCAUCUCUUGAUCACGAAAAGCUUCGGUUUGAAUCGUUUUGCCUCGUGUGGAGAUUUUGACGGGAGAUGUGUUGACUGUCAUUGCUUCCUUGGUGGAUUUCCACGUAGCCUUCUCCACCUUUGUCUCAAGAAUUUUGUCGUUCUUGUAGUCGGCGAUCGGUUCCUUCUUCCCAUGAUGGGUGAUGCUCAACUCCAUGUCAUGGGCGUGGGUGGCCAAUUCCUCGAAGGUCCGUGGUUUAAUGCCUUGAAGGAUGUAUUGCAAACCUCAUUGCAUGCCUUGGAUGCACAUCUCGAUUGAAGAGGUCUCCGAGAGCCUAUCUUUGCAGUCGAGGCUUAGAGUGCGCCAUCUGUUGAUGUAGUCAAUGACCGGCUCAUCUUUCCAUUGCUUCAUACUUGUGAGCUCCAACAUGCUUACAGUGCGGCGGGUGUUGUAGAAGCGGUUGAGGAAUUCCCGCUCCAAUUGCUCCCAGCUGUUGAUGGACUCAGGCUCUAGGUCCGUGUACCACUCAAAUGCGUUUCUUUUCAGCGAGCGCAUAAACUGCUUGGCGAAGUAGUCCCCCUCCGUCCCCGCGUUGUUGCAAGUUUUGACGAAAUGUGCAACGUGCUGCUUUGGGUUUCCUUUUCCAUCAAACUGCAUGAACUUUGGUGGUUGAUAUCCCAUCGGCAUCUUUAGGGCAUCAAUCUUCUUUGAAUAAGGCUUUGAGUACAACCCGGAGGUAUUUGAGCUCCCUUCGUACUAUGCCUUGACGGUGCUGGCAAUCAUCUCUUGCAACUGUUGGAUAGAAAGAGAUCCCAUGAGUGCCGCUUCUUGGUCUGGCUCCGGCUUCACAUCGAUUUUCUCCACCGUAGGCUCAUCUUCUGGGUUAGGGUUCUCGCUGUCCUGUGGCUCCAGUUGACUGAUGAGUGCAGCGAUUUGCAAGUCUUUUUCUUCCACAGUUCGGGUUAGCCUUGCGAUUGCUUCAUUCAUUUGAGCCAGUUGUUCUUCGAUGGAGGUAACGCCGAUGGUCAUGACUUGUGCAACCAAUAGACGUGACUUUCCUUUAGACAUCCAAGAUGCUGAAGAAGAACGUCAUUGGUUGUUUUGGGAUGUCAUCUUGUGUGCCUCAGCAACAUGCUUUGGUGCCCCCAGCGAGGUCAGGUUGAUGACAGACUCACACCUUUGAUGCUCCCUUUGCUCUUUUAGCGGCACCAACUUUGAAGUGGCAUGUUAAGGAGCGGUUGUGGUGCUAAUGGAUUGUCCAUUUGCGGCAGAAGUGCUUAGGAUCCUUCCCUCAGUGAUUGCGAGAACGGCUUGUCCCUUGCUUGAUGCCAUUGAUUUUGAGGUGUGUUUGGAUUCCUUAAACGGAGAAAGAUAUGAGAGGUAGAGAUUGUCCCACCGGGCGUGCCAAUUUGUGAACACGAAAAUUUCCUGAAACGAAAGAGACAAGAACAACGUGCACAAAAUAAUAUUUUGGUGUUAAUGGAUUUGUUGGGUUACGAUCUCUUUUAACUUGAUCCUCUGAUUCGAUCUCCGUAAGGUGUUGAUUUAUGGAUGUUUCGUUGAUCUAAGGGCCGUCGAGGCUUGAUCUUGGAUGAACUGUUGGAAGUUUCUUCAAGGGGCCGUGGGCUUGAUCUUUGAAGGUGGAUUUGAGCGGAUCUUCAAGGAGCCGUUGGGGCUUGAUCUUGAGGAUGAGUGUUUCUUCAAGGGCCGUUAAGGCUUGAUCUUGAAUAACGGUGAUGAACGGAUCUUCAAGGGCUUUUGGGCUUGAUCUUGAAGAACGGUUGGAUGUGUGGAUUUGUUGAUGUUGUUGAUCCAAGGGCCGUCGGGGCUUGAUCUUGGAAGAACGAUGAACGAAGAACGAAGAACACUUUCUUCAAAGGCCGUCGGGGCUUGAUCUUGAAUUGGUGAUUGUUGAUCCAAGGGCCGUCGGGGCUUGAUCUUGGAAGAACGGUGAACGAAGAAUGAAGAACGAAGAACACUUUCUUCAAGGGCCGUCGGGGCUUGAUCUUGAAUUGGUGAUUGUUAAUCAAAGGGCCGUCGGGGCUUGAUCUUGGAAGAACGAUGAACGAAGAACGAAGAAGGCUUUCUUGAUUCUUCGGGAUGAACGGAUGAUGAACAAUGAACACUUUCUUCAAGGGCCAUCGGGGCUUGAUCUUGAAUUGGUGGAAGUUCUUCAGGGCCUUUGGGGCUUGAUCUUGAAGGUGGAUGAUUGUUGAUCCAAGGGCCGUCGGGGCUUGAUCUUGGGAUGAACAGUUGUGUGGAUUUGUUGAACACUUUCUUCAAGGGCCGUCGAUGCUUGAUCUUGAAUUGGUGGAAGUUCGUCAAGGGCCGUUGGGGCUUGAUCUUGAAGAAGGAUUUGACGAAGAACGAAGAGAGCUUUCUUGAUCCUUCGGAAUUUGCUUGAAUUUGGGAGGUUGGAUGCUUGAAAGCUUUAGAGUUUCAAAGCUUCAAGGAUUUUGGAUGUGUGGGGAGUAUUCUCUUACAUUUUGGGAGUAGAGAAAUGUAUUUGUGAAUUGGUUUUUGAUACCUUGAUGUAGAAGCCUAUUUAUAGGCUUUGAGAAUGAAUCACCACCACAAAAUAUUUUUUUCUUUUCCAAGCACCAUUGCCUAAUUUCCCACUUAAUACAAUUUUAAACUUGAAGUGGUAAUUUUAUGGCCUAAUUUUCCACUUAAUAUCAUUUUAAACUUGAUAUGUGCAUGCUUUGUCAUUGCCCAAAAUGAGAAGAAAACCUUGUUUUGAUCUUCAAUGGAUUGAAAUGUGCUUUGCCUUGUCAUUGCCCAAAAUGAGAAGAAAAACUUGUGUAAUCCUCCAAGGGUAUUUCUUUUUAUUUUGUUGAGUCACACACCAUGUGUACAAUUUGUAUGACACGUGGCAUAUGCCAUAUAUGCCUUGACACGUCAAAAUUUUAAUGCGUUGGUGAACAUUUAUUUCACCGCAAUUUCGAUGUCUACAAUUUCAUUUCUUGUGAAUAAUGUUUAUCCUGUGUUCUGUCCAAUCGCGUAUUAAAAAAUGUGUGAAGUUUGGAUUAACCACACUCUUUUAGAAUUUCCUUUAUUUACCACUUUUUGAGAAUUUCCAAUAAGACUGGGUGAGUCUCCGCUGAGAAUUUCCUCAACUAACACCACACUACUUGAGGGAUAAUUUGUUAUAUCUUUGAAUAAAGAAUAAAACAGUUUCCUACUUUUGAAGGUACUAUUAACUUACACUAUAUUUGGAUGAAGGUCAAACUUUAUAAAUUGACAUACACCAAAUUCUUUGUUUGGAUUCAUAAACAUAUAAAUUUAGAAUUUCCGCGUGGAAAAAAAAAAUACUUAGAAUUUGAGACCUCCAAUUCUCAAAUUGAAAGUUUAAAAAUAAUAAAUUCCGUAUUCAAUUCAAUUGUUCUUUUAGGUUAACCAAAUAAGAAAAUUCACAAAUUCUAAAAUAUAAAAUCUCAUCAUUUCAAUUUCCGUCAUUUUAAAAUUCCUUAGUAAUAUUAAAUUUCUUCAUCCAAACAUAGUGUUAAGAAAUUUUUUAAAGAUACACUAUUUACACUCAUUUUUAUUUCUUACACAUUUAUUAACUUUGUCCAUUGAUUUCUUCAAUUCAUUUUGCCAGUUAUACAAAAAUUGAGAACAGUAUUUAUGAAUUAAAAAUACAUUUGUAGAUGUCACUACCAAAUUUUUAUUCCUAAUUCAAGAAAAUCUUAUCCAUAUAUGAUUGCCCUUGCCCACUUUAAAUGGGUGCCAUCACUUUACGAUAGAGCAAUCCUAACCGUCCACCUAGGUAAGCAUAACUGGCGAUGCAUGUCGCAAGGGGACCGCAUUGCACAAUAUAAUUAUACUAGUUGAUAAGACAAGUGAUGUCAAUCAAUAAAUUAUUUCAUUAAAACUUAGUUGUAUGUAUCAUAUGUUGUAAUGUAGGGUGUAUGAUAUGCUGACGCUGUAAAAAAAUGUAACCUUUUUAAUAUUACUCAUAAUAGUAAGACUUACCAGUAUUAGGAUGUUAUCAGUGGAAUGAGAAUCCUCUCCAGAUCUUUUUUGUGAGCUAUUAUUUGUAUUUAAUUUUAAAUAUAAAAAAUUAAAAUAAUUUAUGACGGCAGUGAUUCACAUGAUCUUCACAAAGAGAAUCCAAAUAAUCUUAAUUUAUAUCAGUGUGUCUAGAUAACAUGAUCGAGCCCCUUUACUUUUACCCUAUUUAGUAUUUUACAUUUGAACCUGUAAAUAUUCGAUUUUUCUUUGGUGCAACCGAGCACCAAAUAUAGAUUUUUUUUCACUUUUAUAUAAUGAUAAAUAAAGGGCAAUUGGCAGAUUUGAAUUCCAUUCGGAUUGGUCAAAAAUCAUUUUAAAUUGUUUUAUUUAAAAUUAAACACAUAUAGUACUUAAUAAAAAUUAGUCGUACAAUAUACGAUAAACAGAUAUAAUGUAAGGACCUUUAUGAUCUUCACAAAAAAGAUCCAAAGGUUGUGUAGCUGUUUCAAAAGGAUAAUACUCACUUUUGAUUAGUUCAAUGAAAUUUUAAACAUGUUUUAUUGUUUUAAAAAAUAAUAAACAUAUUUAUUAAUGUUUGUUUUACUUUAAAAAAUAAGCAGCACUUGACAACAUUUGAUUGUGCUAAAUAAAAAAUGAGUGACCACUUAGUACUACAGUCUUAUGAUAUUUUUCUUCAUUUGAAAGUGAGAGGUUUUAAGUUCGAAUCUCGUGGAUGACGAAUUUGAUAUCAAAUUAGAUUGCUCACUAUGUGGCUUAGCCGAACUCUCAUUUCCUUUAAUGUAAAAAUAUUGAUGUAUUCAAAAAAAUAAAAAGUGACUAUAGAGGACACUCAAUCUCAGCUGUAUGAUUAAAUCAGACGGUAAGAAAAAUUCUGCAAGCAUACUCGGUUACAUUAAUUGAAGAAAAAAUGGGUAAAUAUUGGGCACCAACGUUAUAAAUACCCUCCACCAUGCACCCAACUCCCUCACACCAUCACAACCCACGUUACAAAUCCUCCUCCUCAUCAUAACCAUUCUGUUUUCCGCAUAAUAUCCAAAAACCUAUCAUGUCUGAAGAGAAACACCACCGCGGUCUCUUCCACCACCACAAGGAUGAAGACAAACCCUCAGACUACCCUCAGUCUGGCUACUCUGAUGAAGGACGUCCCGGCGGCCUCGGUGGUGGUUACGGCGACACCAAUGAUUAUUCUGGUGAAGGACGUACCGGCGGCCUAGGUGGUGGCUAUGGCGACACCAAUGCUUAUUCUGGUGAAGGACGUCCCGGCGGCUAUGGCGGCUAUAACGAGACCACUGCUUACUCUGAGGAAAGAGUUGAAAGACCCGGCGGUGGCCGGUACAGUGAGACUACUGCGGCAUAUGGCAGCACCAC
Molecule: long non-coding RNA, 7982 nt
Filed under: Malus domestica (apple)
Lineage: Eukaryota; Viridiplantae; Streptophyta; Magnoliopsida; Rosales; Rosaceae
Description: long non-coding RNA (MDOM_LNC004302)
Source: RNAcentral